This is a non-coding RNA of Microcebus murinus (gray mouse lemur), 630 nucleotides long. The record is from RefSeq and is a predicted model, not a curated record. NCBI's taxonomy places the organism in Eukaryota, Metazoa, Chordata, Mammalia, Primates, Cheirogaleidae.
GAUAAAUGCUUCAGGUUUAGGUGGAGCCAGAAGUACUUUACAACUGUCAAAGAACCUCAGCCUUUGACAAUAUCAAGGUGUAUUUUGAGGAGUUACGGCACCAGAGACAACGACCUUGGCUUAAAGACGGGCACUGCUUUCGUUUCUUGGUACCAAACAGCCCCAGCAUAGCAGGAAGAUCCAAAUGAAGACUGCUGACUCAUUUAUAGACCUGAUUCUCCUCUAUGGAUCAAGGUGUACUGCAGAGGACAGGCCAUAGGAGGUGCCACAGAUGGCUCCACCUGGCUGCAAGAGAGAGGACAAAGGGGAAGAAAAAGGACAGUGCUGGCAAAUGUCCUUGGCUCAGCAGCUACUUCCCAGCAACAAGUCUGCACUGCAGAAGAGAACAGACGCAUUUUGGGGGGCAGCUAGCCACCUUUGUGACAGCUGUUUGCUAACUGUAUGCAACUUGGAUUGCAUCCUUCUAGGUCUCACAUUCCCCUCAGUUAAAUGAGGAAGAUAAUCCCAUUUACCUCACUGGCUUGUUGGAGGAUUAAAUGGGACAAUUCAUGUAAAGCACUGAGCACAAUGUUGGCACUUAGCAAGAUUUCAGGAAGUGUCAGCUGUUCUUAUUAAUAUCUAAGUCUUUAU